CCAUGUCUGAAACACCAGUUCCUGUACAAUCACCAAAGUUAAGCAACAUCGAGCUUGAUCAGUACCUAGAUGGGUGAUCAUUUGGGAAUAUCAGGAUUUGUAA
Non-coding RNA from Acanthosepion pharaonis, 103 nucleotides. The record is from the annotation of a GenBank genome assembly. Lineage: Eukaryota; Metazoa; Mollusca; Cephalopoda; Sepiida; Sepiidae.